GACGAACGCUGGCGGCGUGCUUAACACAUGCAAGUCGAACGGAAAGGCCCUGCUUUUGUGGGGUGCUCGAGUGGCGAACGGGUGAGUAACACGUGAGUAACCUGCCCUUGACUUUGUGAUAACUUCAGGAAACUGGGGCUAAUACCGGAUAGGAUCUCCUGCUGCAUUGUGGUGUUUGGAAAGUUUCGGCGGUUGGGGAUUGACUCGCGGCUUAUCAGCUUGUUGGUUGGUUAGUGUCUUACCAAGGCUUUGACGGGUAGCCGGCCUGUGAGGGUGAACGGAGAAAUUGGGACUGAGAUAAGGCCCAGAAUCAUACGGGAGGCAGCAGGGGGGAAUAGUGCAAAAUGGGCGGAAGCCGGAUGCAGAAAAGCCGCGUGCGGGAUGAAGGCCUUCGGGUUGUAAACAGAUUUCGACUGUGACGAAGCGUGAGUGACGGUAAUGGGUAAAGAAGCACCGGCUAACUACGUG
This 468-nucleotide ribosomal RNA is filed under the name uncultured bacterium. Its description in RNAcentral is "partial 16S ribosomal RNA". It matches the Rfam family "Bacterial small subunit ribosomal RNA", at positions 28 to 507 of the family's 1533-position model. The record is from RNAcentral.